CCCCCCGUGCCCCCACCCGAGAGCCACUCAAGCAAACCCAUGCCCGUGCACAGCCAUUCUUGCCGGCCGGCCCGUCACACAGCCCCCAGCUGUGUUUUCAUCUUGGCGGGGUGAGAACAGUGAGGACCCUCAGUCACUUCCACGCACCCCUCAGACUUCUCACGGCCUGGAAGGUUGGGUUAUCACGCAUCAUUUCAGAGAUGGAGAAGCUGAGGCUCAGGGAGGUGGAAAUCUGCCAAGGUCUCAUAGCUGGAGGGACAGGGGUGGCACGGGAAUGGGUCUCUUUGGUCCCACUUUCCUGCGGCCAUCAACAGGGCAUUCGGCAUUUCCUGUGACCCCAGCCUGCUGCAGCAUCUGGGAUCAGGUGGGGUGGGACCUACAGUAAGAAGAAUGCAGGGAGGUGAUCCCUGGGAUUCUUAGCACCUGCUAUAGCUGUUAGAAAUCGUUGCCAGGUUAUGUCACACGUUGGUAACCCACUGAUCGAUGUGUGUUUCUGCUUGGUCUGAAUUGGAUAACGAUUAAGCCGAAGGCUGAGGGUUCGGAAGGGGAAGGGAAGUGUGGAUUAUGAUCCGGGACCAUAGACUCUCUCGGUGGGAGUCUGGAUGGGUGGGAGCCAGAGCAGUGAGUCAGCAAACCCCUGGCAGUCAGUGUCCAAUGCUUUAGUUUAGCUGGGCCCGGAGCAGACUGUGGCUUUGACAUCAGGCAAACAGAGCUGAAUUCUACCCCGUUUCUGCGGUUGUCUAGCUGUGGACCUUGUGAGAGUCCCUCCUACCUCUGAGCCUCGUAUUCUCGCCUGUGAAAAGAAUUGUAAAAUCCCCUUCUUUACGAGGAGGUCAAAAAGAUUACAUGAGAUAAACCAGGGAAAGGGUUUUGCAUGUAGGGCGUGCUCCAUAAAUGCGGGCUUUCCAUCCCCUCCCACCAGACGGAACAUCAGGGUUAAUUUUCAACAGCUCUGGGGUUAGAUGAACCCUAGAUCUGAAGCUCACCGGUCUCGUUUCCUGGUUGUUCAACCUGGAGAAAGGGAUUCCCUCCUCCACCCCCCACCCCGGCCAGAGACCCAGCUUCGUCUGUAGUAACAGGAAUGAGGACACAGAUCUCAUUACCCUGAACGCUGUUAGGAAGGAACUACUGAGGACAGCAAAGAUGGGUUGGUGUCAGGAAAAGGGUGAGGAGGAAGGGGCCAGCAUCUGGAACACGAACUGAAGUUUGGAAAAUGACAAGAGCAUCUUACAGAUAGAGCGGGUGGUUGACGUCUGCAAAGCCAGCGGGGCACUGUCUCAUGAUGCCUUUGGUUUGUUGCCUCAUAUCCCUUUGUUUACCCGUUCAGUCCUUCGUUCCUUCCUUCUUCCCUCUGUUCAUUCUUUUACUAAGUGGUUCACAUAGUGAUUAAUAAGGGGGCAUAGCUCAGGGGCAGAGCAUUUGGCCGCACGUAGUGAUUGAUGGCAUGGAAUCUUUUUUGAGUUUAUUUAUUUUGAGAGCAAGCGAGCAGGGGAGGGGCUGAGAGAGAAGAAGAGAGAGAGAAUCCCAAACAGGCUCUGCCCUAUCAGUGCAGAGCCCGAUGCAGGGCUCGAACCCACGAACCACGAGAUCAUGACCUGAGCCAAAGUCAUGAGUCAGAGCUUAACUGACUGAACCACGCAGGCACCCUGAUUACGUGGGUUCUGAAGCUGAUCUGCUUGGGUUCAAACCCUGGCUCUGCCACUUACCAGUUAUGUGUCUUCGGCAAGUGACAUGACUUCUCUGUGCCUCUCUUUCUUCAUCUGUGAAAUGGAGACAACAGAAAUACCUGCCUUGUGGGGUGGUUUUUGUGUUCAAUGUGUUCAUGUGUGUAAAGUUCUUAAACCAGUGCCCAGCCAUUACGAGGUGCAGUAUUCAUGUUUGCUGUUCUUGUUUAUUUAUUCCCUCACCGAUUACUAAGAGACAACUCUAUGGCAGGCCCGGGGCUGGGUGGCCACCAGGGAUUCAGAUCUGAAGGACGAUCUCCAACCUUGCGGAGGUCACAGAUGCAUAAACGGGCAAUUGCAGUCAUGUGGUCAGUGUUGUGCAGGUUGCCUUGUCAUUGCGUUGAUUGUUUGUCUCCAUCGCUGGGCAGAAGCUUUUUAGUUUGACAGAGGCCCACUUGCUUAGUUUUGCUUUGGUUGCCUCUGCUUUUGGCAUCGGAUCCAAAAAUAGCAUCGCCGAGACGGAUAUGAAGGAGCUCGCCGCCUGUUUUUUCUUCUAGGAGAUUCAUGGUUUCAGGUCUUAUGUUCAAGUUUUUCAUCAUUUUUCUGCAUGUGGCCGUCCAGUUUUCCCAACAGGAAAACAGAAAGCACGAGAUAAAGAAUGCAUUAUAAAAUAGAAAUUCUGGUACCUUUGCUCCCUCAAACUGAUGGCUCUUCUCGUG
Long non-coding RNA from Acinonyx jubatus (cheetah), 2383 nucleotides. RefSeq lists it as uncharacterized. The record is from RefSeq and is a predicted model, not a curated record. The transcript is spliced from 3 exons. NCBI's taxonomy places the organism in Eukaryota, Metazoa, Chordata, Mammalia, Carnivora, Felidae.